This 462-nucleotide ribosomal RNA is filed under the name uncultured bacterium. RNAcentral describes it as "bacterial SSU rRNA". It matches the Rfam family "Bacterial small subunit ribosomal RNA", at positions 337 to 815 of the family's 1533-position model. The record is from RNAcentral.
UCCUACGGGAGGCAGCAGCAAGGAAUAUUGUGCAAUGGGCGAAAGCCUGACCCAGCGACGCCGCGUGGAGGAAGAAGGCCCUCGGGUCGUAAACUCCUUUUCUCAGGGAAGAAUAAUGACAGUACCUGAGGAAUAAGCCCCGGCUAACUACGUGCCAGCAGCCGCGGUAAUACGUAGGGGGCGAGCGUUAUCCGGAUUUACUGGGCGUAAAGAGGGCGUAGGCGGCUCUUCAAGUCGGAUGUGAAAUCUCCCGGCUUAACUGGGAGGGGCCAUUCGAUACUGUUGGGCUUGAGUACAGCAGAGGGAGGUGGAAUUCCCGGUGUAGUGGUGAAAUGCGUAGAUAUCGGGAGGAACACCAGUGGCGAAGGCGGCUUUCUGGUCUAUCUCUGACGCUGAGGAGCGAAAGCUAGGGGAGCAAACGGGAUUAGAUACCCCAGUAGUCCAGUCCCCCUACGGGAGGCA